UACGUAGGGUGCAAGCGUUGUCCGGAAUUAUUGGGCGUAAAGAGCUCGUAGGCGGUUUGUCGCGUCGAAUGUGAAAACCCGGGGCUCAACCCCGGGCCUGCAUUCGAUACGGGCAGACUAGAGUUCGGUAGGGGAGUCUGGAAUUCCUGGUGUAGCGGUGAAAUGCGCAGAUAUCAGGAGGAACACCGGUGGCGAAGGCGGGUCUCUGGGCCGAUACUGAUGCUGAGGAGCGAAAGCGUGGGGAGCGAACAGG
RNAcentral lists this ribosomal RNA (253 nucleotides) under uncultured bacterium. RNAcentral's name for it is "partial 16S ribosomal RNA". It matches the Rfam family "Bacterial small subunit ribosomal RNA", at positions 524 to 776 of the family's 1533-position model. The record is from RNAcentral.